UGGGAAGGCCAUCAUUACUCUCUACUUUGAAAUUAUCAAAUCUUACUUGUCCUCCCCAAACUGCGACAUCUCAUCUCUUCUCUCAGAGUCCGACUGUAACUCUUAAUACCCAUCGUGUGGAGUCGCACGUGCGUCUUCGUCUUCGUCUUCCUCUGAAUAACUUUUCAGUUCGGAGAAAAUCAAACCUGGCAUGAAUGAUUCUUCUUUCUGCGAACCCACGACGAGCUUCUUUCUAUUUGGGCAGCUUCGACAACGCGUCUCGCUCCGAGCUUCUGAAGACACUCAGGGAAUCUCUCGUCUUCUCAGCGUAAGGGCCCUGUUACUUGAAAUUUAGCUAGGUUUACAGAUUGGUUUCAAUGCUGGUUAUAAGUUUAGUAUUGUUUGCUCAUCGGGUGUUGGAGGUAUUCGGAAUCUGGUGUUCCCAGAUUUCUAGUACUGGCUUCGAUGCCUUGGCUUAUUCCCAGAUUUCUAUUGGAAGAACAGAGCAGCUAAUGCAGCUAGUAAUGGAUGGGGAAGUCGACAUCCAGGAAUAGUAUCUAGCCUUAAUUUAACACCAAACUCUCCGAUGAGGUGCUUCAAAGCAUCAAUUCAUGCUUGGUGAGCAGCUUAAGUUUCUUCCUAAUCAAAUCAAAGGGGAUCGAUAAUGCUUUCACCUUGUAACUGAGUAGAGAUGCUUUAAUCGGGAUUUCAUGCCUUAUCUCCAGGAUCUCAUAAAGAUAGAGGAAAGCUUUACUUUUUAUACUGGAGCACCAGCUUUAUGUAUUUCAGUUUUGUGAAUUUCUUUUAUCUUACACUUUGGUUAAAAUGUAUGAUAUUAGUGUUAAAACUAAUUUAACUUAUUCUCACCUCAUUUUAGGAAUCAGUGUUUCACCAUAUUUAUAAAGAAACAAAUGCUAG
This is a long non-coding RNA of Rosa rugosa (rugosa rose), 897 nucleotides long. RefSeq lists it as uncharacterized. The transcript has 3 exons. Lineage: Eukaryota; Viridiplantae; Streptophyta; Magnoliopsida; Rosales; Rosaceae. The record is from RefSeq and is a predicted model, not a curated record.